Molecule: non-coding RNA, 23 nt
Filed under: Arabidopsis thaliana (thale cress)
Lineage: Eukaryota; Viridiplantae; Streptophyta; Magnoliopsida; Brassicales; Brassicaceae
Source: RNAcentral
AAGCAGAUAACAAAUCGCCGUGA